RNAcentral lists this ribosomal RNA (619 nucleotides) under Nostoc punctiforme MACC 262. RNAcentral's name for it is "bacterial SSU rRNA". It matches the Rfam family "Bacterial small subunit ribosomal RNA", at positions 36 to 700 of the family's 1533-position model. The record is from RNAcentral. Lineage: Bacteria; Bacillati; Cyanobacteriota; Cyanophyceae; Nostocales; Nostocaceae.
CUUGAGGGUUUCCUUACACAUGCAGUCGAACGGUCUCUUCGGAGAUAGUGGCGGACGGGUGAGUAACGCGUGAGAAUCUGGCUUCAGGUCGGGGACAACCACUGGAAACGGUGGCUAAUACCGGAUGUGCCGAAAGGUGAAAGAUUUAUUGCCUGAAGAUGAGCUCGCGUCUGAUUAGCUAGUAGGAAGUGUAAGAGACUACCUAGGCGACGAUCAGUAGCUGGUCUGAGAGGAUGAUCAGCCACACUGGGACUGAGACACGGCCCAGACUCCUACGGGAGGCAGCAGUGGGGAAUUUUCCGCAAUGGGCGAAAGCCUGACGGAGCAAUACCGCGUGAGGGAGGAAGGCUCUUGGGUUGUAAACCUCUUUUCUCAGGGAAGAACAAAAUGACGGUACCUGAGGAAUAAGCAUCGGCUAACUCCGUGCCAGCAGCCGCGGUAAUACGGAGGAUGCAAGCGUUAUCCGGAAUGAUUGGGCGUAAAGCGUCCGCAGGUGGCAGUGUAAGUCUGCUGUUAAAGAGUGAGGCUUAACCUCAUAAAAGCAGUGGAAACUACACAGCUAGAGUACGUUCGGGGCAGAGGGAAUUCCUGGUGUAGCGGUGAAAUGCGUAGAACUAAC